RNAcentral lists this transfer RNA (72 nucleotides) under Bos taurus (domestic cattle). It matches the Rfam family "tRNA". From Rfam's summary of the family: Transfer RNA (tRNA) molecules are approximately 80 nucleotides in length. Their secondary structure includes four short double-helical elements and three loops (D, anti-codon, and T loops). The record is from Rfam by way of RNAcentral. Lineage: Eukaryota; Metazoa; Chordata; Mammalia; Artiodactyla; Bovidae. RNAcentral also lists the same sequence under 4 other names.
UCCGUAGUGGCUCAGAUGGUAAAGAAUCUGCCUGCAAUGCAGGAGACCUGGGUUCGAUUCCUGGGUUGGGAA